RNAcentral lists this transfer RNA (67 nucleotides) under Troglophilus neglectus. RNAcentral describes it as "tRNA-Tyr". It matches the Rfam family "tRNA". Rfam says of the family: Transfer RNA (tRNA) molecules are approximately 80 nucleotides in length. Their secondary structure includes four short double-helical elements and three loops (D, anti-codon, and T loops). Further hydrogen bonds mediate the characteristic L-shaped molecular structure. tRNAs have two regions of fundamental functional importance: the anti-codon, which is responsible for specific mRNA codon recognition, and the 3' end, to which the tRNAs corresponding amino acid is attached (by aminoacyl-tRNA synthetases). tRNAs cope with the degeneracy of the genetic code in two manners: having more than one tRNA (with a specific anti-codon) for a particular amino acid; and 'wobble' base-pairing, i.e. permitting non-standard base-pairing at the 3rd anti-codon position. Lineage: Eukaryota; Metazoa; Arthropoda; Insecta; Orthoptera; Rhaphidophoridae. The record is from RNAcentral.
GGUCGAAUGGCUGAGUGUAUAGGCAAUAAAUUGUAAAUUUAUCUAGGAGAAUAAAUCUCUUCUACCA